This 1343-nucleotide ribosomal RNA is filed under the name uncultured bacterium. Its description in RNAcentral is "16S ribosomal RNA". It matches the Rfam family "Bacterial small subunit ribosomal RNA", at positions 28 to 1378 of the family's 1533-position model. The record is from RNAcentral.
GACGAACGUUGGCGGCGUGCUUAACACAUGCAAGUCGAACGGAAAGGCCCUGCUUUUGUGGGGUGCUCGAGUGGCGAACGGGUGAGUAACACGUGAGUAACCUGCCCUUGACUUUGGGAUAACUUCAGGAAACUGGGGCUAAUACCGGAUAGGAGCUCCUGCUGCAUGGUGGGGGUUGGAAAGUUUCGGCGGUUGGGGAUGGACUCGCGGCUUAUCAGCUUGUUGGUGGGGUAGUGGCUUACCAAGGCUUUGACGGGUAGCCGGCCUGAGAGGGUGACCGGCCACAUUGGGACUGAGACACGGCCCAGACUCCUACGGGAGGCAGCAGUGGGGAAUAUUGCACAAUGGGCGGAAGCCUGAUGCAGCAACGCCGCGUGCGGGAUGACGGCCUUCGGGUUGUAAACCGCUUUCGCCUGUGACGAAGCGUGAGUGACGGUAAUGGGUAAAGAAGCACCGGCUAACUACGUGCCAGCAGCCGCGGUGAUACGUAGGGUGCGAGCGUUGUCCGGAUUUAUUGGGCGUAAAGGGCUCGUAGGUGGUUGAUCGCGUCGGAAGUGUAAUCUUGGGGCUUAACCCUGAGCGUGCUUUCGAUACGGGUUGACUUGAGGAAGGUAGGGGAGAAUGGAAUUCCUGGUGGAGCGGUGGAAUGCGCAGAUAUCAGGAGGAACACCAGUGGCGAAGGCGGUUCUCUGGGCCUUUCCUGACGCUGAGGAGCGAAAGCGUGGGGAGCGAACAGGCUUAGAUACCCUGGUAGUCCACGCUGUAAACGGUGGGUACUAGGUGUGGGGUCCAUUCCACGGGUUCCGUGCCGUAGCUAACGCUUUAAGUACCCCGCCUGGGGAGUACGGCCGCAAGGCUAAAACUCAAAGGAAUUGACGGGGCCCCGCACAAGCGGCGGAGCAUGCGGAUUAAUUCGAUGCAACGCGUAGAACCUUACCUGGGUUUGACAUGGAUCGGGAGUGCUCAGAGAUGGGUGUGCCUCUUUUGGGGUCGGUUCACAGGUGGUGCAUGGCUGUCGUCAGCUCGUGUCGUGAGAUGUUGGGUUAAGUCCCGCAACGAGCGCAACCCUUGUUCACUGUUGCCAGCACGUUAUGGUGGGGACUCAGUGGAGACCGCCGGGGUCAACUCGGAGGAAGGUGGGGAUGACGUCAAGUCAUCAUGCCCCUUAUGUCCAGGGCUUCACGCAUGCUACAAUGGCUGGUACAGAGAGUGGCGAGCCUGUGAGGGUGAGCGAAUCUCGGAAAGCCGGUCUCAGUUCGGAUUGGGGUCUGCAACUCGACCUCAUGAAGUCGGAGUCGCUAGUAAUCGCAGAUCAGCAACGCUGCGGUGAAUACGUUCCCGGG